This 75-nucleotide ribosomal RNA is filed under the name Staphylococcus aureus. Its description in RNAcentral is "partial 16S ribosomal RNA". It matches the Rfam family "Bacterial small subunit ribosomal RNA", at positions 1 to 74 of the family's 1533-position model. RNAcentral also lists the same sequence under 1 other name. The record is from RNAcentral. Lineage: Bacteria; Bacillati; Bacillota; Bacilli; Caryophanales; Staphylococcaceae.
UUUUAUGGAGAGUUUGAUCCUGGCUCAGGAUGAACGCUGGCGGCGUGCCUAAUACAUGCAAGUCGAGCGAACGGA